UGGUAGUUAUAUGAAAAAUAAAGACAAUAGAUAAAUGUCAUCAUCCAGAUAAGUAAAUUAAGAAGAGUGUCUUGAUGGUAUAAACUUACCAUGUUUACACUACCGUGUUAGCUAAGUUUUUCCAUUUUUCCAUGAUGGCUUCAUUUGGGACCUAUCCAUGCUUUUGGCUCCAAGAGUACAUCUACUCAGCAGAAGCAGGAUCAAGGAAACCAAACAUCAGUCAUCCCGAGAACAAUUCAGAAUCCAACUAGAGGACCUUAAAGUGAAUGACCCACCCAUCAAAGAUAUUCCUGUCUGGAAGUCUUGGCUCAGAUCUCUAAUGGAGGUGGGAGGCAUGCCCAGCCCUGGUUCGUCUCUCAAGGAGUCUUCAGUGCCUAAUCUGGGAUCUAUGUGUCAGAGAUGUGAACAGACAGCAAAAUGGACUCUAGUAUGUGUCAAAGCUUGACCGAUGAAGAAGUACAGGAGAAGUUCAUUCACUCUUAAAUAACUGCCCUUCUUGUUGGAAUAAUGGGCCCUCCUGCAGGAGAUGGGAAUUUACUUCCCAGUUAAAACAGCAGAAAUUCCCUUUCAGGAGAUGUCAGGUAGAGUGGUGAGAUGGAAGAUUCCACAACCCAUCAGCUUUCAAAGGGAUUCUGGAGAGCUCUCUUGGCAUUAUGGAUGGACAAGAACCAGGAUGAAGUUGGUAAGAGUUCUGGAGACAUCCCUAUUCAUUACAAAUGAGGUCGAGAACAGGAUGGCAUUGGUACAUGGGAUUUCUGCUAAUGAUUUUCUUUUCUCCCCAUCACUAUCCCUGUCCCCCCACCCUGUGCCUCUCAGGUUUGAAAAAUAAUGUAGCCGUCUUAGAUGAAGAAAUUAGUUAUCCCAAUAUAAGUUUCUGUAUGGGAGGGCUUACCUAGAACCUUUAAAGGUAAAUUUCUAAGAGAGGAUGGAAAAAUAUAGUGGAAGAGUUAUGAUUGAAAUAAGAAACUGUCAAAGGAAAAAGAAACUGUCAAAGUUUAAUUAAAAGAGUUGACACCAGUGGAUGGUCUUAAUCUACAAACAAGUAGGCAACUAUACAACGUUUUUCCCUACUAGGUCAACUUCCACUUUAAUACUGACAGGACAGAACAACCCUACUAUUAAUACAUAAUUAAUAUUCAACUGCUUUGGUUCAACAAAGGGAAGAACUAAAGAGGAACCAAAGUUAUGGAAAAACUCAAACCACCAUGCCAGAGUCUCUUAGAACCCAAACUAAUUCUCAAAAAAUGCUUAGUCUGAAAAAACUUCACUCAGUUCAACCAUGAGCUAAUUGAUGUACCAAAUAUUAACCUGCUAUACUAUACACCAGCCAUUAUUCUAGAUGCUAGAGGCAGAGGAGUAAACAAAACAGAAAAGAUCUGGCUCUCUUGUAGUUUACAUUCUUCUGGGGGAGAUAAACAAAAAACCAGUAAACAUAACUACUUUCAGAUGUUAUAAGGACUAAAAAGAAACUAAAAUAGGCUGAUGAGAUGAAGAAUGCCCAGAGAGGCCAGGAUAGACGGGGGUGGCCCUUCUGAGGAUGUGACAUUUGAGCUAAGGCCCACCAUGGAGAGGAGGAAGAGAAGUGCUUCAGUCAGAGGGCCAGCAGGUGCAAAGGCCCUGAGGUGGAAAUGAGCUUCAAGUUAAAAAACCAAGGCUUUUAUGUGCGUGGGGCACAGUGAGCAUGGAGGAGAACCCUACGAAACGUAACGUAGCCUGAGUGACCAGCAGGGGCCAGGUCAUAAAGAGCCUUGUAGGCCAGAAGGUGUUCAGAUUUUAUCCAAGGCACAAUGAGAGACAUUUGGCUGGAUUUAUGAAUAAUAUGAACUCGAAAGAAUUUUUUAUUUUGACUUUAGCACUAGAAAUGAGCUAUAUUUUCCUUGACUGUGUGGUAUAGUUCUAUGUCACCAACUUGUGAUAAGUUUUACCUUCCAAGUUUGGAUUAAAGGUGUAGUUACUAUCCACAUAUAUGUUACAGGGAUGGGACCCAUUAUGCAGAUAGUAUACUAUGCAAAUACUAUAGCAUUUUGUGUACUAACUUAAAUUCCAUCUUCAUUUCAUUGUCUUACUUUCAGUUGUCUUUUGCCUCAAUUUCUUUACCUCCUGCUAAAGUACUUGAAUGUAUGCAUUUGUCAGUUGCCUCAAGUCCUUUCAUCGGUGGGUUUUAAAUAAACACAUUGAAAUGCAGGCCUGGCAAGAUAGAAUCUCUCAUAUUCUUGAGUCUCCUUCUAGAUGUUGACAAUCCGAAACUAAAAUAGCCAGGUAACCCUGAGGAUUCAGUGACUUUAUCUUCAUAUGAAGGUGACAAUUUCACACUUUCCCAGUGGACAUUUUAAAAGACCACAGAAUUAGAAAUAAAAUUCUUCUAACACAGUAAACAUUAAAAAAUAAAGUUUCAUGGUGAAAUUUCUUGAGCUUCUGUCAUAGUCAGGGGAGAGCCUCAUACAAUCUGUAAGCUUUUUUAUUUAGGCAUGACCAGGUUUAACUUUUUUCUGUGCCAUUGUGUUCACAGACAAUCCUGUAGGACUCAUUUCCAUGGCUUCCUGCAGAGAAUACUUAGAAUCACUAGCUCUGAAAUGCCAAAUGUCUGUCAGGCAAAACACCUUUUUAGAUUUUGUGAGAUAUGUAAUUAUAUUCCAUAUGACAUGCUCCAUUGUGUGUUUGAAAAGAGACAAGUAUUUACUACACUCGACAGGUGGGUCAGACUACCUCACAAAGAAAGCUGAAUCUGCCAGGUCACCAGGCAGAGUUUCCAGGGGUGGCAAGUCCCAUUUGCUCCUUCCUUUUCUUCCCACUCUAGCUUACCCUUUAGAAAAAUACAAAAAAGUACAAGUUACCCCAAGGACACUGGGCAAAUAUUUAACAGCUCGAUGGAGCUGUCUGACCCUGAUUUUAAAAGAAAAAGAAAA
Kogia breviceps (pygmy sperm whale) is the source of this 2906-nucleotide non-coding RNA. The record is from RefSeq and is a predicted model, not a curated record. NCBI's taxonomy places the organism in Eukaryota, Metazoa, Chordata, Mammalia, Artiodactyla, Physeteridae.